RNAcentral lists this long non-coding RNA (241 nucleotides) under Homo sapiens (human). RNAcentral's name for it is "long non-coding RNA NONHSAT179526". The stretch from base 86 to 218 matches the Rfam family "Small nucleolar RNA SNORA68". Rfam says of the family: U68 is a member of the H/ACA class of small nucleolar RNAs (snoRNAs) which act as guides in the the modification of uridines to pseudouridines. The record is from RNAcentral. Lineage: Eukaryota; Metazoa; Chordata; Mammalia; Primates; Hominidae.
GAAUUGAACCCCUGCCUAGUGUUGGGAGCUGGCACCUUUUCCCUGGCUCACCUGCCAGGGUCUGUGAGACCCCCACACCUCCCUGAUUGCACCUAAACCCAAGAAUCACUGUUUCUUAUAGCGGUGGUUUAAACAGAGGUGCAAACAGCAAGCGGAUCUUGUCGCCUUUGGGGGGCUGUGGCCGUGCCCCUCAAAGUGAAUUUGGAGGUUCCACAACUCUAGUGGCCAGUGACUGCAGGGA